GUGUCCUGUAGCGCAGUGGAUAGCGCGUUGGACUUCUAAUCCAAGCCGUGGGUUCGAAUCCACCAGAGACG
This is a non-coding RNA of Trichonephila clavata, 71 nucleotides long. The record is from the annotation of a GenBank genome assembly. NCBI's taxonomy places the organism in Eukaryota, Metazoa, Arthropoda, Arachnida, Araneae, Nephilidae.